UACGUAGGUGGCAAGCGUUGUCCGGAUUUGCUGGGCGUAAAGAGCGCGCAGGCGGUCGUUCAAGUCGCGUGUGAAAGCCCCCGGCUCAACUGGGGAGGGUCACGCGAUACUGAUCGACUCGAAGGCAGGAGAGGGUAGUGGAAUUCCCGGUGUAGUGGUGAAAUGCGUAGAUAUCGGGAGGAACACCAGUGGCGAAGGCGACUACCUGGCCUGUUCUUGACGCUGAGGCGCGAAAGCUAGGGGAGCAAACGGG
Molecule: ribosomal RNA, 253 nt
Filed under: uncultured bacterium
Lineage: Bacteria
Description: partial 16S ribosomal RNA
Rfam family: Bacterial small subunit ribosomal RNA
Source: RNAcentral